This is an RNA transcript of Colias croceus (clouded yellow), 3831 nucleotides long. It is a transcript of the gene named E3 ubiquitin-protein ligase listerin-like, with no coding region annotated. The record is from RefSeq and is a predicted model, not a curated record. Lineage: Eukaryota; Metazoa; Arthropoda; Insecta; Lepidoptera; Pieridae. The transcript is spliced from 13 exons.
CUGCGUUACGCAAGAGAUAAUAACGACCAUUUCAGAAGAAAAUAAUAAUCACAUCAAAAAUGUUUUAACACAAAGAUCUUUCAAAACUGGUUAUUACUGGGCCUUCACGAAUGCAAUGUAUGAAACUAAACUUGCUCAAAUAACUGAAUCAAGUGAAAAAUCUGAUGAAGUUAUAAAAGAAAAUGAGUCGAGCAGUUCUGGUAAUGAGAUGGACAAACAGAGAGAAUCUAACGUAAGUGGACCAGUGUCCGAAUUGGAUACGUUAAUGUUGGACAAAAUUGUGGGUAGAAAUGGAUUCUUCCAUAGCUUACAGGCAAAAAACACCCCCCACGACAUUCUACGCGCGCAAUACCUCAGUACAGUCCGCUGCUGGUAUCUAUACCAGGGCACAAGUGACCCCACUCGCUCGCAGCACUUUGCCAGACAAGUGGCCAAUUCACUCGCCCGACACUGUCUUGACCCUGUCAUGGAUGAUUAUUAUAAAUACGAUGAGAAGAUGUUUAAUGAGAGGAACUACUCCAAAGAGCCCUGGAGUGUGAUCUCCAGCCAGGCGUCCCUACUGCACCUGCUCAAUACUUUGGUACAGAACUCCGCGUGGGAUCUAUCUGCGCACGAGUGGGAUUUCAUCAAUAUUGUCUUGUGUUCAAUACUCAACUCGCUUGCGAAAACACCAAGAUUCGAUUCCACUAAGUUCGCGACCAUAUCCCGUCCAACCCUCUCGCUACUAACAUCAGUAGCGCGCUUCGUGUCCAGCAUCCGCCAGGAAUGUGAGAAGCGCGAGCCGACCGCGCACGUGGCGGAGUUGCCGAACGAGUGGCGCGACAUCUUCGCGCCCGAUGCCUUCUCCAACGUCAUCGCUUUGUUGCUCCAUGUUCUGAAAUCAUCUCCAAACUACCACCUAACCAUAAACCACGUGGCAAUACUAGAAGCACUGCUAGCUUCGACUCCAAUACUGAACUGGGACCAGCUCCCCAACCCGCUGAAACUCAGCACAUACUCGCUCCACAACCUGGCGUCGCUCGCGUUCCGUGUGCUAGCACAGGACACGCACUAUGCGUACCAGUUUGUAGCGUAUAGCGUGUUGAAAGUUAUCGCUAAGCCUAUGGUUUUGGAUGAUGUGGAAAAGCUGAGCCAACUGUGCGAGCGGCGUGAGAGGGAGGGAGACGACGACGAGGAGACUAUUUCCCUCUCGCUCGCACAGUACUACGACGCGCUGCGCGACACGAGCAUGCUCGGCGAGCCGCUCGGGGACGAUAGACUGCACAUAUCCCGCGCGUUCGGUUACCUGCUCCAAAGUCUAGCGGUGUUCAGUCAGAGCCUGCUGGCGAGAGGCGAUCUUGUACAUCAUUAUAUCAACUCGCUCAGUGAAAGUGGUAUAGUAUCUCCGGUGAUAGACACUACACUGCGCUACGUGUCGAGCUCGCUGCUGGCGGAGGGCGGGGAGCCGCCCGCACACGAACUGGCGCUGUUCACUGCCGAGCCGGUGCUGGCGCUCACGGAGCCAUCCAUAGAGCGCACCCUGCGCUGUAUCUCGUCCCGCACGCUGUACCAAUGCACCCGCAGCUGCGCGGGCGCAGUUCGAGCGCACUGGAGCGCGGGCGGGGCAAGAGCUGCCAACGCGCUGCAUCGGCUGGUGGAGCGGGCCGUAGCGCCCGCCAUGGUGGACGAGCAGCUCGCGCAUCUGAAGGAGCAUAUGGACGAGCUUGAGGACGCUGAUAUAUCAGUAAUACGUCCGGUGGGCGGCGGCGCGAACAUAAUCUGCAACGCGCAAGUGGAGGAGCGCACCAUAGAGCUGCGCAUAGACCUAAGCAAUAGCCACCCGCUGGCCCCGCCGCUGGCGCACCCGCCCGCGCUGCCGCUCGCGCACCACUCGCACUACCUGCGGCUCUACCUCGCCUAUCAGAACGGCUGGGUGGUGACGGCGCUGAAGAUGUGGAUGGAGAUGCUGCGCAGCCGCGUGCAGGCGUCGCCGCAGUGCUACAUCUGCUACUGCCGCCUGCACCCCGCCAGCGGCAAGCUGCCCAACGUGCUGUGCUACACCUGCAACAACCGCUUCCACUCGCAGUGCCUCGUGAGUAGCCGAUAGUGCUACAUCUGCUACUGCCGCCUGCACCCCGCCAGCGGCAAGCUGCCCAACGUGCUGUGCUACACCUGCAACAACCGCUUCCACUCGCAGUGCCUCGUGAGUAGCCGAUAGUGCUACAUCUGCUACUGCCGCCUGCACCCCGCCAGCGGCAAGCUGCCCAACGUGCUGUGCUACACCUGCAACAACCGCUUCCACUCGCAGUGCCUCGUGAGUAGCCGAUAGUGCUACAUCUGCUACUGCCGCCUGCACCCCGCCAGCGGCAAGCUGCCCAACGUGCUGUGCUACACCUGCAACAACCGCUUCCACUCGCAGUGCCUCGUGAGUAGCCGAUAGUGCUACAUCUGCUACUGCCGCCUGCACCCCGCCAGCGGCAAGCUGCCCAACGUGCUGUGCUACACCUGCAACAACCGCUUCCACUCGCAGUGCCUCGUGAGUAGCCGAUAGUGCUACAUCUGCUACUGCCGCCUGCACCCCGCCAGCGGCAAGCUGCCCAACGUGCUGUGCUACACCUGCAACAACCGCUUCCACUCGCAGUGCCUCGUGAGUAGCCGAUAGUGCUACAUCUGCUACUGCCGCCUGCACCCCGCCAGCGGCAAGCUGCCCAACGUGCUGUGCUACACCUGCAACAACCGCUUCCACUCGCAGUGCCUCGUGAGUAGCCGAUAGUGCUACAUCUGCUACUGCCGCCUGCACCCCGCCAGCGGCAAGCUGCCCAACGUGCUGUGCUACACCUGCAACAACCGCUUCCACUCGCAGUGCCUCGUGAGUAGCCGAUAGUGCUACAUCUGCUACUGCCGCCUGCACCCCGCCAGCGGCAAGCUGCCCAACGUGCUGUGCUACACCUGCAACAACCGCUUCCACUCGCAGUGCCUCGUGAGUAGCCGAUAGUGCUACAUCUGCUACUGCCGCCUGCACCCCGCCAGCGGCAAGCUGCCCAACGUGCUGUGCUACACCUGCAACAACCGCUUCCACUCGCAGUGCCUCGUGAGUAGCCGAUAGUGCUACAUCUGCUACUGCCGCCUGCACCCCGCCAGCGGCAAGCUGCCCAACGUGCUGUGCUACACCUGCAACAACCGCUUCCACUCGCAGUGCCUCGUGAGUAGCCGGUAGUGCUACAUCUGCUACUGCCGCCUGCACCCCGCCAGCGGCAAGCUGCCCAACGUGCUGUGCUACACCUGCAACAACCGCUUCCACUCGCAGUGCCUCCGCAAAUGGUUCCAGACGAGCAAGAAGUCGAACUGUCCGCUGUGCCGCACCGUGUUCUAGUACUCGCUGCACGAGCUGCCCGGCUCCGACGAAGAGGGAUGACGUCAUCAUAUUCACAAAAAUACUGUACAAAAAAGAGCGUGUGUGCCGAGCACACGUGUCAGAAGUGAAACUUGUUUGGCAAUAUUCAAAAAUACUAAAAUUAUCGCCUUACUCCAUGACGUGACGGUAUUGCUAUUACGCGACCUUGAAAUUUUACCCUCGCGCCUAAAGAAGUUUCACUUCAAAAAUAGUGUAAUUAUGUAGUAAAUUAAAUGCAAUUUUUGUAUUGUUUUCUAAGAUUUUACAUGUACAUGUUAUGAGUUUAUUAGGUAAUAAUAUACUCGCUAGUGUUGUCUAGAAAUAUAGUUUUAAAUUCACAUUGUUGACUACGUGUAUUCUCGAUUUAUUUAGCAAUAAUUAUUUAUAUACAUUGUACAGAUUGCAAAUUUCUAACUGUUAAACUCUGAUAUUAUUAUAAUAAAUCAUGUUUUUAAAAA